AACGGGGCCUUAAAGCUUUUAGCUGUGUUCAAGAUUCGGCUCUGUCAUUGCUUUUGCUCCAGAGAUUGAGCGAUAAGUUCCAAGCAGCAUGCACAUCUCAGUUUCUUUUCUUGUGGUAGAGGAAGAAAAUGGAAAGAAAGGAGCAAAAGUCGAGAGAUAAAAGUAGAGGAAUGAAACACAAUAACCUUCCUCAUUGCAGUUGAGAAUUUGGAAUCAAGAACCAGCAGGAAAUAUCAAGCACUCCCAACUACAGAAACAUGAAUUCCUUAGCCGGUUGUGUACUGGAAGCACUUCACUAGUUCCAGGCUGUCCUAGAAAUUCACAAAUGAUUGACAUCAACCGCUUCAUCAAAUCGAACAUGGAUAUUUUCAUGAUCCAUCACUCGAGCGAUACCGCGCCAAACUUCUCAUUGUUGACUUGGUGCCCGUGGCAUGGGUGUAUUCGAUAGGAAGCUCUUGAACAAAGCAUGUGCAUGAGAGGGAAGAUACAUUGGGACUUCGUGUCCUGAUCCCAAAACAGCAACGAAUGUAAGCCCUUCGUAUACCUCGAUCCAACCUCCGAGCUGAUCAGAAACCAAAGAGUCCUCUUUUAGUUUGCUGUGAAUUACUGCGUGAAAGCUUUUCUUCAACUUGAUUUGAAUUGCACUUACCAGAUUGUUAUGGUUCCAGGGGUGCCAUUUAUUCUGUAGUUUGAGCUUAAGUGCCUCAAUGUUGCGCCGAGUCGUUGACAAAGUAAUGGCUAUAUCUGUAGUCCCGCUGCUCAAAAGUAAAGAAAUAAUCUGUGAAAAACAAAUAUUCGGUA
This is a long non-coding RNA of Syzygium oleosum, 801 nucleotides long. RefSeq lists it as uncharacterized. The transcript is spliced from 2 exons. The record is from RefSeq and is a predicted model, not a curated record. NCBI's taxonomy places the organism in Eukaryota, Viridiplantae, Streptophyta, Magnoliopsida, Myrtales, Myrtaceae.